RNAcentral lists this microRNA precursor (196 nucleotides) under Oryza sativa Indica Group (long-grained rice). Its description in RNAcentral is "MIR812 microRNA precursor family". It matches the Rfam family "MIR812 microRNA precursor family". The record is from Rfam by way of RNAcentral. Lineage: Eukaryota; Viridiplantae; Streptophyta; Magnoliopsida; Poales; Poaceae.
AAAAAAAUAAACUCUGGGUUUCCGUGUCCAACUUUGAUUGUCCGUAUUAUAUGAAAUUUUUUUAUAAUUCGUAUUUUUAUUGUUGUUAGAUGAUAAAAUAUAAUAUUUUAUGCGUGACUUGUCUUUUUAAUUUUUUUCAUAAUUUUUUCAAAUAAGACGGACAGUCAAACGUUGGACACGGAAACCAAGGAUUAUC